RNAcentral lists this ribosomal RNA (524 nucleotides) under uncultured bacterium. RNAcentral describes it as "partial 16S ribosomal RNA". It matches the Rfam family "Bacterial small subunit ribosomal RNA", at positions 28 to 523 of the family's 1533-position model. The record is from RNAcentral.
GACGAACGCUGGCGGCGUGCCUAAUACAUGCAAGUCGAGCGCAGGAAACUGACGGAACUCUUCGGAGGGAAGGCAGUGGAAUGAGCGGCGGACGGGUGAGUAACACGUAAGGAACCUGCCUCAAGGAUUGGGAUAACUCCGAGAAAUCGGAGCUAAUACCGGAUAGUUCAACGGACCGCAUGGUCCGCUGAUGAAAGGCGCUCCGGCGUCACCUUGAGAUGGCCUUGCGGUGCAUUAGCUAGUUGGUGGGGUAACGGCCCACCAAGGCGACGAUGCAUAGCCGACCUGAGAGGGUGAUCGGCCAAACUGGGAUUGAGACACGGCCCAGACUCCUACGGGAGGCAGCAGUAGGGAAUCUUCCACAAUGGACGAAAGUCUGAUGGAGCAACGCCGCGUGAGUGAUGAAGGUUUUCGGAUCGUAAAACUCUGUUGUAAGGGAAGAACACGUACGAGAGGAAAUGCUCGUACCUUGACGGUACCUUACGAGAAAGCCACGGCUAACUACGUGCCAGCAGCCGCCGUAA